UUUUAAGCAUCGGUAACAAACAUAUUUUUUAAAAAUGUUUGGGACCUGUGUUUAAGUAA
Molecule: microRNA precursor, 59 nt
Filed under: Strongyloides ratti
Lineage: Eukaryota; Metazoa; Nematoda; Chromadorea; Rhabditida; Strongyloididae
Description: microRNA str-mir-8375 precursor
Source: miRBase by way of RNAcentral